RNAcentral lists this ribosomal RNA (253 nucleotides) under uncultured bacterium. RNAcentral's name for it is "partial 16S ribosomal RNA". It matches the Rfam family "Bacterial small subunit ribosomal RNA", at positions 524 to 776 of the family's 1533-position model. The record is from RNAcentral.
UACAGAGGGUGCAAGCGUUGUUCGGAAUUAUUGGGAGUAAAGCGCGUGUAGGCGGUGGUUCAAGUCGGGUGUGAAAGCCCUCAGCUUAACUGGGGAGGGUCACGCGAUACUGAUCGACUCGAAGGCAGGAGAGGGUAGUGGAAUUCCCGGUGUAGUGGUGAAAUGCGUAGAUAUCGGGAGGAACACCAGUGGCGAAGGCGACUACCUGGCCUGUUCUUGACGCUGAGGCGCGAAAGCUAGGGGAGCAAACGGG